Molecule: transfer RNA, 67 nt
Filed under: Scatella hawaiiensis
Lineage: Eukaryota; Metazoa; Arthropoda; Insecta; Diptera; Ephydridae
Description: tRNA-Glu
Source: RNAcentral
GUUUAUAUAGUUUAUAAUAAAACAUUACAUUUUCAAUGUAAAAAUAAAAAUAUAUUUUUUAUAAAUU